This 601-nucleotide ribosomal RNA is filed under the name Bacillus subtilis. Its description in RNAcentral is "bacterial SSU rRNA". It matches the Rfam family "Bacterial small subunit ribosomal RNA", at positions 752 to 1353 of the family's 1533-position model. Lineage: Bacteria; Bacillati; Bacillota; Bacilli; Caryophanales; Bacillaceae. The record is from RNAcentral.
AGCGAAAGCGUGGGGAGCGAACAGGAUUAGAUACCCUGGUAGUCCACGCCGUAAACGAUGAGUGCUAAGUGUUAGGGGGUUUCCGCCCCUUAGUGCUGCAGCUAACGCAUUAAGCACUCCGCCUGGGGAGUACGGUCGCAAGACUGAAACUCAAAGGAAUUGACGGGGGCCCGCACAAGCGGUGGAGCAUGUGGUUUAAUUCGAAGCAACGCGAAGAACCUUACCAGGUCUUGACAUCCUCUGACAAUCCUAGAGAUAGGACGUCCCCUUCGGGGGCAGAGUGACAGGUGGUGCAUGGUUGUCGUCAGCUCGUGUCGUGAGAUGUUGGGUUAAGUCCCGCAACGAGCGCAACCCUUGAUCUUAGUUGCCAGCAUUCAGUUGGGCACUCUAAGGUGACUGCCGGUGACAAACCGGAGGAAGGUGGGGAUGACGUCAAAUCAUCAUGCCCCUUAUGACCUGGGCUACACACGUGCUACAAUGGACAGAACAAAGGGCAGCGAAACCGCGAGGUUAAGCCAAUCCCACAAAUCUGUUCUCAGUUCGGAUCGCAGUCUGCAACUCGACUGCGUGAAGCUGGAAUCGCUAGUAAUCGCGGAUCAGC